UUCCAGCCUGGGUAACAAGAGCAAAAUUCCAUCUUAAAAAAAAAAAAAAAGUGCACAGCCGAGCGUGGUGGCUCACGCUUGUAAUCACAGCACUUUUGGAGGCUGAAGUGGACAGAUCAUGAGGUUAGGAGUUCGAGAUCAGCCUGGUCAACAUAGUGAAACCGUGUCUCUACUAAAAAUACAAAAAUUACCCGGGCGUGGUGAUGUGCACCUGUAAUCCCAGCUACUUGGGAGGCUGAGACAGGCGAAUCACUUGAAUUCAGGAGAUGGAGGUUGUGGUGACCUGAGAUCGCACCACUGCACUCCAGUCUGGGCAACAGAGCAAGACUCCAUCUCAAAAAAAAAAAAAAUGUGUGCAAAGGACAUGAAUCUAUAUUCUUCAUAAGAUGACGUACAGCUCAUGCCUGUAAUACCAGGAUUUUCAGAGGCAAUGACAGGAGAGUCGCUUGAGCUCAGGAGUUUGAGACUAGUCUGGGCAAUGUAGGGAGACCCUAUCUCUACAAAUAAAAAAAUUAGCUUGGCAUGGUGGCAUGUGCCUGUAUUCCCAGCUACUUGAGAGGCUGAGGUAGGAGAAUUGCUAGAGUCCAGGAGGUCGAACUGCAGUGAGCCAUCAUUGUACCACUGCACUUCAGCCUGGGUGACAGAGUGAGAUCCUGUCUCAGAAAAAACAAACAAACAAACAAAAAAGAAAAACUAGACAUACAAAUGACCAACAAGCAUGUGUAAAAAUAUUUAUCACUAAUCAAAGAUGUACAAUUCAAAACUACAAUGAAAUAUAAUUUUAACCCAUUCAGAAUGCCAUUCGGAGUGACUAUUAAUAAACAGAAAAAAAUAACAGAUAUUGACAAGGAUGCAGAGAAAAGGGAACUCUUUUUAUUUAUUUAUUUGUUUGUCUGUUUUUGAAACUGAGUCCCUCCCUGUCAACCAGGCUGGAGUGCAGCGGUGCAAUCUUGACUCACUUCAACCUCUCCCUCCUGAGUUCAAGCGAUUCUCGUGCCUCAGCCUCCCAAAUUUACAGGCACCUGCCACCAUGCCUGGCUAAUUUUUUUGUAUUUUUAGUAGAGAGGGGGUUUUAUUAUGUUGGACAGGCUGGUCUUGAAAUCUUGACCUCAAGUAAUCCACC
RNAcentral lists this long non-coding RNA (1123 nucleotides) under Callithrix jacchus (white-tufted-ear marmoset). RNAcentral describes it as "lncRNA (ENSCJAG00000077539.1)". The record is from RNAcentral. Lineage: Eukaryota; Metazoa; Chordata; Mammalia; Primates; Cebidae.